UGAGGAAUAUUGCUCAAUGGGCGCAAGCCUGAAGCGGCGACGCCGCGUGGGCGACGAAGGUCUUCGGAUCGUAAAGCCCUUUUCUGCGUGACGAGCAAGGACGGUAGCGCAGGAAGAAGUGUCGGCUAACUACGUGCCAGCAGCCGCGGUAAAACGUAGGACGCAAACGUUAUCCGGAAUUACUGGGCGUAAAGAGCGUGUAGGCGGGGGGAUAAGUUGUCCGUGAAAGCGCCUGGCUAAACUGGGCGAGGUCGGAUAAGACCGUCCGUCUGGAGGGCGUGAGAGGGAUGCGGAAUUCCGGGUGUAGUGGUGAAAUGCGUAGAGAUCCGGAGGAACACCAGAGGCGAAGGCGGCAUCCUGGGACGUACCUGACGCUGAGACGCGAAAGCAUGGGGAGCGAACGGGAUUAGAGACCCCGGUAGUCCAUGCCGUAAACGAUGUUCACUAGAUGUGCGUUUUCCUACGGGGAGAUGUGCGUCGAAGCCAACGCGCUAAGUGAACCGCCUGGGGAG
RNAcentral lists this ribosomal RNA (512 nucleotides) under uncultured bacterium. RNAcentral's name for it is "bacterial SSU rRNA". It matches the Rfam family "Bacterial small subunit ribosomal RNA", at positions 355 to 880 of the family's 1533-position model. The record is from RNAcentral.